AUUGAACGCUGGCGGCAGGCCUAACACAUGCAAGUCGAGCGGAUGAAGGGAGCUUGCUCCUGGAUUCAGCGGCGGACGGGUGAGUAAUGCCUGGGAAUCUGCCUGGUAGUGGGGGAUAACGUCCGGAAACGGGCGCUAAUACCGCAUACGUCCUGAGGGAGAAAGUGGGGGAUCUUCGGACCUCACGCUAUCAGAUGAGCCUAGGUCGGAUUAGCUAGUUGGUGGGGUAAAGGCCUACCAAGGCGACGAUCCGUAACUGGUCUGAGAGGAUGAUCAGUCACACUGGAACUGAGACACGGUCCAGACUCCUACGGGAGGCAGCAGUGGAGAAUAUUGGACAAUGGGCGAAAGCCUGAUCCAGCCAUGCCGCGUGUGUGAAGAAGGUCUUCGGAUUGUAAAGCACUUUAAGUUGGGAGGAAGGGCAGUAAGUUAAUACCUUGCUGUUUUGACGUUACCAACAGAAUAAGCACCGGCUAACUUCGUG
RNAcentral lists this ribosomal RNA (484 nucleotides) under uncultured bacterium. RNAcentral's name for it is "partial 16S ribosomal RNA". It matches the Rfam family "Bacterial small subunit ribosomal RNA", at positions 30 to 507 of the family's 1533-position model. The record is from RNAcentral.